CCUACGGGAGGCAGCAGUGGGGAAUAUUGGACAAUGGGCGCAAGCCUGAUCCAGCAAUGCCGCGUGAGUGAUGAAGGCCUUCGGGUCGUAAAGCUCUUUUACCAGGGAUGAUAAUGACAGUACCUGGAGA
This 130-nucleotide ribosomal RNA is filed under the name uncultured bacterium. Its description in RNAcentral is "partial 16S ribosomal RNA". It matches the Rfam family "Bacterial small subunit ribosomal RNA", at positions 338 to 485 of the family's 1533-position model. The record is from RNAcentral.